AUUGAACGCUGGCGGCAUGCUUUACACAUGCAAGUCGAACGGUAACAGGCCGCAAGGUGCUGACGAGUGGCGAACGGGUGAGUAAUGCAUCGGAACGUGCCCAGUCGUGGGGGAUAACUACUCGAAAGAGUAGCUAAUACCGCAUACGAUCUAUGGAUGAAAGCGGGGGACCGUAAGGCCUCGCUCGAUUGGAGCGGCCGGUGUCAGAUUAGGUAGUUGGUGGGGUAAAGGCUCACCAAGCCAACGAUCUGUAGCUGGUCUGAGAGGAGGACCAGCCACACGGGGACGGAGACACGGCCCAGACUCCUACGGGAGGCAGCAGUGGGGAAUGUUGGACAAUGGGCGCAAGCCUGAUCCAGCAAUGCCGCGUGCAGGAAGAAGGCCUUCGGGUUGUAAACUGCUUUUGUACGGAACGAAACGGCUCUGGUUAAUACCCGGGGCUAAUGACGGUACCGUAAGAAUAAGCACCGGCUAACUACGUG
Molecule: ribosomal RNA, 482 nt
Filed under: uncultured bacterium
Lineage: Bacteria
Description: partial 16S ribosomal RNA
Rfam family: Bacterial small subunit ribosomal RNA
Source: RNAcentral